CCUGGUGAUCUAAGCGACUGGGUCACACCUGUUCCCAUUCCGAACACAGAAGUUAAGCCAGUCUGCGCCGAUGGUACUUUCGAGCUUAGCUCGACGGCAGAGUAGGCCAUCGCCAGGG
This 118-nucleotide ribosomal RNA is filed under the name Candidatus Kerfeldbacteria bacterium RIFCSPLOWO2_01_FULL_48_11. Lineage: Bacteria; Candidatus Kerfeldiibacteriota. The record is from RNAcentral.